Long non-coding RNA from Canis lupus familiaris (dog), 1974 nucleotides. RefSeq lists it as uncharacterized. The record is from RefSeq and is a predicted model, not a curated record. The transcript is spliced from 4 exons. NCBI's taxonomy places the organism in Eukaryota, Metazoa, Chordata, Mammalia, Carnivora, Canidae.
GCCUGCGCGGUGAGAGUUGCGCGGCUCUGGGUGGGGACGCCCGGGGGCCUGUGCCCGCGGGGAGGUCGUUGCCCUCCGACCUUCCCUCGGCGCUCCCCGCGCGGGGCGGUGCCCCCUCUCCCCUCGGCAAGGGCGGGCCAGGCGGCGGAGGAAGCUCUCCCGCUGGAGGCAGACUCCGAGAGAACUAAGCGCCGUGUGGAGAGUCCUGGCCGGCACCUGUGGGCAGAGCCCGGGUUCCGCGGAUCGGACCUGCGCUGUGCUCGCCGUCGGCGGGGACCCCGGGGCUGGCUCGGCCCUCAGCGCCAGGACUGCGACCCUCACUGACCCUCUUUUUUACUUUUUAAAGUAAGGCUACCUGGAAAAGAAUCUAACUACAGAUGUGGCUCCCGUUUGCCUCUCACAUCGCAUCUCAGUGAAACAUGGCUGCUCUGAAAUAGGGACGCCCGGGUGGCUCAGCGGGUGAGCCUCGGCCUCGGCUCAGGGCGCGACCCCCGGACCCGGGAUGGCGUCCUGCGUGGGCUCCCCAGCCUGUGUCUCUGCCUCUCUCUCUCUCAUGACCCUGUCAGACGUUUUCUGCUCCCUUCUUCACAAGACCGCGAGGCUAAAUGACGCCACUAGGCAGUGACAGACGGAGACUUCAGCUCUUCGGACUCAAAGUCCACCUGUGGAAAGAGAGAUUCUGGAAAUGCUUCUCUCUCCAGAGGCAGAAGAUCCUCAAGCCCCCAAAGGACUGGGAGUGUCUCCAAAACGUACACUUGGAUACUGGUUCUGAAAAAAAAAUCUAUAGGGAAAUCGAUUUUGAAGGGAUCUGGAAAAAAGUAACAAGCUUUACACCAAGCACGGGGCUUGGACUCACAACCUGGUGAUCAAGAGUCCCACACACUCUACUGACUGAGCCAGCCAGGAGACCUAGAGUCUUUAUUUUUUAAGCAAUCUCUACACCCAACGUGGGGCAUGAAUUCAUGACCCUGAGAUCAAGAGUCAUAUGCCUUACUGACUGAGCCAGCCAGGCAACCGGAAAAAGAAUAAUUUCUGAGUGAGUUUUGAAUGAGACCCAAAAUUUCAACUUUUGACAUCACACAUCACCAAUCUCAGGAAGUUCUGUCCUCUGUGCUAAUAUGUUGAUGAAACACAAUAUGUGUUCCUCUAAUCUGUCAGAAAAUUUUUGGUAAAUGUAGAAAUAAUACAGGAGAUGCAAAAUUUUAUUCAUAGACAUUAGGAAAAAGUGAGAGGCUCAAAAAGAGGAAUGAAAAUAAUAGCAUAUAAAAAAAAAAUCUUGAGCCAGAAGAAAAGUUUAGAACUAGCUCAAAGGAAAGUGGCCAGUGGUUCAGGAAAGGGAGGAGACCUUCUGGGUAUAUGGCUUCCUGGUAUAGGAAGAUUAGCCCAUAAACUGUAUUAAAACGUCCAUUCUAGGGGCGCCUGCGUGGCUCAGUGGUUGAGCUCACCAUUUGGCUCACAGCGUGAUCCUGGUGUCCUGGGAUCAAGCCCCACAUCAGGCUCCCUGCAAGGAGUCUGCUUCUCCCUCACCUUCUGCCCUUCCUCCCCGCUCCCAGGACCCUGGUAUCAUGACCUGAGCCAAAGGCUGACGCUUCACUGACUAAGCCACCUAGGCACCCCUAGAGUGAACCUUUUAAUUGAGCCAGGAAAAGGUUCUUCAGUCAUUGAUCACUAAACCCAUCAGUUACUUCCUGUCUGUGUGGUAGGAUGAAAACAGAUAUAUUUCUCAGUAAAAUGAAAUGCGGUAACCAGGUGAGCAGACCAGAAAGUGAGCCAGAGUAUUGAAAAUGGAAAACACAAGGACAUAAGUCAAGCUCUCAAAAGUAGUCGAGGCCAAGGGUGCUUUUUGAGGGCUAAGAAAAUGUGGUGGGGGUUAUAAGACUGUAUAUAAUUAACCAAACUCAUAAACUGUAUACUUAAAAUAGGUGAAUUCUAUUGUACAUGAGUUAUAUUACAAUAAAGCUAAAUAAUAAAGAA